RNAcentral lists this ribosomal RNA (368 nucleotides) under uncultured organism. RNAcentral describes it as "bacterial SSU rRNA". It matches the Rfam family "Bacterial small subunit ribosomal RNA", at positions 526 to 896 of the family's 1533-position model. The record is from RNAcentral.
CGUAGGUGGCAAGCGUUGUCCGGAUUUAUUGGGUUUAAAGGGUGCGUAGGCGGUCUUUUAAGUCAGUGCUGAAAUACUCCAGCUUAACUGGAGGGGUGGCAUUGAUACUGGGAGACUUGAGUGUAGUCGAGGUAGGCGGAAUUGACGGUGUAGCGGUGAAAUGCUUAGAUAUCGUCAAGAACACCGAUAGUGAAGACAGCUUACUAGGCUACAACUGACGCUGAGGCACGAAAGUGUGGGGAUCAAACAGGAUUAGAUACCCUGGUAGUCCACACUGUAGACGUUGAUGACUCGCUGUGUGCGAUAUACAGUACGCGGCUAAGCGAAAGCGAUAAGUCAUCCACCUGGGGAGUACGCCGGCAACGGUG